GUCAGGCCUGGGGAUGACAACAGUCACAGGUAGGUCACAGAAAACUCAAGAAACCUGACCACUAAGGAAUAAGGGCGUGGCGUGAUCAACAGAGAGGCACUACUCACUGGUCUGGAAACUCCAGGGCCUGACUCUUGAUCUUACUGUGCAAACACAUGAUUCGUUCAUCCAUGAAAGGGCACUGUGGAGAGGCCAGGGAGUGUGGUGCUCAGUGGUUGCCGCCUGUAUCCUUCAGAGCCCAUCUGUGCUGUGUCGCUCCUCAGGGAUCACAGCAGUGGCCCAGGCUGGGGAGGGGCCGGGACCCAUUCCCCUUCACUCUGCCCCCAGAUCAGUAGAGGACGGGAAUGUCUAGUAGGUGUCAAGCCCUUACCGACCACACUACUGACCUGCUUUGUUUCGAAGCUUCAAUUUCCUACUGACGCAAAAGCAAACACUCUUCCCCGCCCACCUACCCAGAGAGCAAUAAGGAAGCUGAGGGUAAUAUGUGUGUGCACAUGUGUGAGUGUGAUUGUGUCUGUGUGUGUGAUUAUGAGUGUGUGUUUGCAUGUGUGAUUAUGUGUGAGAAAGUGUGUGUGAUUGUGAGUGUAUGUGUGAUUGUGUGUGUAUGUGUGUGUGAGAGAGUGUGUGUGUGUGUGAUUAUGAGUGUUUGUAUGUAUGACUGUGUGUGUGAGAGAGAGACAGAGUGUGUUUGUGUGUGUGUGUGUAUGUGUGUGUGUGUGUGUGUGUGUGUGUGUGUGUGUUAUGAGGAUUUACCCUGGUUCAGGGGCCAUAGUAGACUUUGUGUGACUACACACAGCCAAUCCAUGGUGCCCUCUACCUAAAAUGAUCUCCCCAUCAAGUGCGUGGCUUUUUCUCUCCAGUCAUGUCUGACCAAAACUGCCUACGAGUGGUCCCCAGCCAAGCAGACCUACCUCAUUCUUGCCAACCAUGCCAUCCCUAGCUGGGCACCUGACCUGACAAGACAGUCAUUUACUGAUAAUUCCUUUCCACUGAAUCCUCAAUGACACCGGCUUAGGGCUUCCUGGCUGGCUCUUUCUCAGAAUGUCCUUGGCACAGUAAAGAUCUACUGAACUAAUGAAAAUUCAGGUUGGUUCUGUCUAACCUCUCAGGGCUAGGGUGCAGCUCAGUGGUUCAAAGGGUGCUUAGUAUGCACAAGGCCUGGGUUUGACUGACAUCCGAGAGAAGGUAGGAAUGACGAAAACAGACAUAUGGAUACUAUAAUAUGGUGGAAGAAUCCAUGUGGUGGGGUUAUGAAGUGGGUGUAAUGGGGCUGGGGAUUUAGCUCAGUGGUAGAGCGCUUGCCUAGGAAGCGCAAGGCCCUGGGUUCGGUCCCCAGCUCUGAAAAAAAGAACCAAAAAAAAAAAAAAAAAAAAAAAAAAAAGAAGUGGGUGUAGUAUUUGGAAUAUGUUUGGCACAUAGGAGGUGGCACUAUUAGGAGGUGUGGCCUUGUUGGAAUGGGUGUGGCCUUAUUGGAGGAAGUGCAUCACUAUGGGCCUGAGCUCUGAGGCUCCGCCCAGUGCUCUUGGUUGGCUCCGCCCAGAGUCACUCUCUCUUGGUUGCCUUCUAAUCAAGAUGCAGAAUUCUGAAGUCCUCCACCAGCAUGGUGCUUUCCUGCACCCUGCCAUGCUUCCUGCUAUGAUGAUAAUGGACUGAACCUCUGAAACUGUGGAACGAAGCCUGUUUCUUAGCGCUGUUGGUUGGGACAUGACACAUGGGCAUGGCCAAGGACAGCCCAGCACCCUGCAGCCACAGUGGUUGGUUUGAAUUUCUUUGCUGUUGCUGUUCAGUGAGCAAAGCUACAGAGCUGAUCGCCUGAUGAGAAGCAAUCUGCAGGGUCUGGUGCCUGACCCUCUUCCAGGGCAACCAGCUCAGGAGAACGGAGACAGAGCUGGGGAGAUACCGAUCCUCGAAACCCAAGGACGCUGAUACAGGCAGAACUCUGCACACCCAAACCUACCUUUCCGGAGAAGAUCUUCCGGGUCUCUGAGAGCGACUCGGGCGCCAUGAAGGCAGGCGUGCCCACGGUGUUAGACAGCAAGGCGUCGCU
This is a long non-coding RNA of Rattus norvegicus (Norway rat), 2047 nucleotides long. RefSeq lists it as uncharacterized. The record is from RefSeq and is a predicted model, not a curated record. Lineage: Eukaryota; Metazoa; Chordata; Mammalia; Rodentia; Muridae.